UACGGGGGGGGCAAGCGUUGUUCGGAAUUACUGGGCGUAAAGGGCUCGUAGGCGGUCAACUAAGUCAGACGUGAAAUCCCUCAGCUUAACUGGGGAACUGCGUGUGAUACUGGAUGGCUUGGAUUUGGGAGAGGGAUGCGGAAUUCCAGGUGUAGCGGUGAAAUGCGUAGAUAUCUGGAGGAACACCGGUGGCGAAGGCGGCAUCCUGGACCAAUAUUGACGCUCAGGAGCGAAAGCCAGGGGAGCAAACGGG
Molecule: ribosomal RNA, 253 nt
Filed under: uncultured bacterium
Lineage: Bacteria
Description: partial 16S ribosomal RNA
Rfam family: Bacterial small subunit ribosomal RNA
Source: RNAcentral